This is a long non-coding RNA of Helianthus annuus (common sunflower), 567 nucleotides long. RefSeq lists it as uncharacterized. The record is from RefSeq and is a predicted model, not a curated record. The transcript has 4 exons. Lineage: Eukaryota; Viridiplantae; Streptophyta; Magnoliopsida; Asterales; Asteraceae.
GAUGAUACAGACAAUACUGCAGUCUCCAUGAUUUAUAGUUUAUAAGUGGGAACUUGCUUUUAGGUGAUUCAUGGAAAGAAGCACUCCAUGUGGUCACUUUUGUCGUGAUCUCUCCAAUUCUUAAAAUUCGCUAAUAAACGCUCAUUCUAGAUCAUCAUAUCUCAUCCUUCAUCCUGCUCUGGAUCCUUUUUGGAAGGACAAAAGGGUGCUGUAUGGGGACACAAUAAUGUCGAAUACAACGUUAAAAUACGUUGUCCUCUUAUCAGAACCAGGGGCGCAACUUUGUGGGGGCCGCAGGGGGGGGGUGACCCGAAAUUUUCUCUCAGUAGUGCCCGGUAUAUACAUUUUCGACCCCCCGGUCAGAAAUCUCAAGCUUCACCACUGAGCGAACACAUCUUGUUUGUGAAAUAUUGUGUUAAAUUUUUUAAGUAGAGAAUCGACAUUAAUAAUGCAAUUUAGGGGAUAUAUUGAUGUUGAUAUCUGAUGUAUUUAAUGCAAGGAACCUGACUCGUGUAGCCACAUAAAGUAUCAUUUUUCGAUCUUUAUAUAAAAAUUAUUAUCAUUCAA